AUUGAACGCUUGCGGCAUGCCUUACACAUGCAAGUCGAACGGUAACAGGCCUUAGGGUGCAGACGAAUGGCGAACGGGUGAGCAAUGCAACGGAACGUACCAUUCAGUGGGGGCAAAAGUAGCGACAGUUACGCUAAUACCGCAUAUUCUGUGAGCAGGAAAGCAGGGGAUCCGAAGAGCUUGCGUUCUUUUAGCGGCCGAUGUAGGAUUAACUAGUUGGUGGGGUAAAGGCCCACCAAGGCUCCGAUCCGUAGCGUGUCUGAGAGGAUGAUCCGCCACACUGGGACUGAGACACGGCCCAUACUCCUACGGGUGGCAGCAGUGGGGAAUUUUGGUCAAUGGUGACAACCCUGAUCCAGCCAUGCCGCGUGAGUUAAGAAGGCCUUCGGGUUGUAAAGCUCUUUCGGCCGGGAAGAAAUCGUGUGGGCUAAUACCCGGCAUGGAUGACGGUACCGGAAUAAGAAGCACCGGCUAACUACGUGCCAGCAGCCGCCGUAA
Molecule: ribosomal RNA, 498 nt
Filed under: uncultured bacterium
Lineage: Bacteria
Description: partial 16S ribosomal RNA
Rfam family: Bacterial small subunit ribosomal RNA
Source: RNAcentral